Molecule: ribosomal RNA, 253 nt
Filed under: uncultured bacterium
Lineage: Bacteria
Description: partial 16S ribosomal RNA
Rfam family: Bacterial small subunit ribosomal RNA
Source: RNAcentral
UACGGAGGGGACUAGCGUUGUUCGGAAUUACUGGGCGUAAAGCGCACGUAGGCGGAUUUGUAAGUCAGGGGUGAAAUCCCGGGGCUCAACCUCGGAACUGCCUUUGAUACUGCGAAUCUCGAGUCCGGAAGAGGUGAGUGGAACUCCUAGUGUAGAGGUGAAAUUCGUAGAUAUUAGGAAGAACACCAGUGGCGAAGGCGGCUCACUGGUCCGGUACUGACGCUGAGGUGCGAAAGCGUGGGGAGCAAACAGG